This 253-nucleotide ribosomal RNA is filed under the name uncultured bacterium. RNAcentral's name for it is "partial 16S ribosomal RNA". It matches the Rfam family "Bacterial small subunit ribosomal RNA", at positions 524 to 776 of the family's 1533-position model. The record is from RNAcentral.
GACAGAGGGGGCAAGCGUUGCUCGGAAUUACUGGGCGUAAAGGGCGCGUAGGCGGGAUGGCAAGUCGGUCGUGAAAUCCUUCGGCUCAACCGAAGAACGUCGAUCGAUACUGCUGUUCUUGAGGGUUGCAGAGGAGACUGGAAUUCCCGGUGUAGCGGUGAAAUGUGUAGAGAUCAGGAGGAACACCGGUGGCGAAGGCGGCUCUCUGGACCGAUACUGACGCUGAGGCGCGAAAGCCAGGGGAGCAAACGGG